GAUGAACGCUGGCGGCGUGCCUAAUACAUGCAAGUCGAGCGAACAGACGAGGAGCUUGCUCCUCUGACGUUAGCGGCGGACGGGUGAGUAACACGUGGAUAACCUACCUAUAAGACUGGGAUAACUUCGGGAAACCGGAGCUAAUACCGGAUAAUAUAUUGAACCGCAUGGUUCAAUAGUGAAAGACGGUUUUGCUGUCACUUAUAGAUGGAUCCGCGCCGCAUUAGCUAGUUGGUAAGGUAACGGCUUACCAAGGCAACGAUGCGUAGCCGACCUGAGAGGGUGAUCGGCCACACUGGAACUGAGACACGGUCCAGACUCCUACGGGAGGCAGCAGUAGGGAAUCUUCCGCAAUGGGCGAAAGCAUGACGGAGCAACGCCGCGUGAGUGAUGAAGGUCUUCGGAUCGUAAAACUCUGUUAUUAGGGAAGAACAAAUGUGUAAGUAACUAUGCACGUCUUGACGGUACCUAAUCAGAAAGCCACGGCUAACUACGU
This 496-nucleotide ribosomal RNA is filed under the name uncultured bacterium. RNAcentral describes it as "partial 16S ribosomal RNA". It matches the Rfam family "Bacterial small subunit ribosomal RNA", at positions 28 to 506 of the family's 1533-position model. The record is from RNAcentral.